This 1331-nucleotide ribosomal RNA is filed under the name Salmonella enterica subsp. enterica serovar Agona. RNAcentral's name for it is "partial 23S ribosomal RNA". It matches the Rfam family "Bacterial large subunit ribosomal RNA", at positions 1589 to 2896 of the family's 2925-position model. Lineage: Bacteria; Pseudomonadati; Pseudomonadota; Gammaproteobacteria; Enterobacterales; Enterobacteriaceae. The record is from RNAcentral.
AGCAACAAAUGCCCUGCUUCCAGGAAAAGCCUCUAAGCAUCAGGUAACAUCAAAUCGUACCCCAAACCGACACAGGUGGUCAGGUAGAGAAUACCAAGGCGCUUGAGAGAACUCGGGUGAAGGAACUAGGCAAAAUGGUGCCGUAACUUCGGGAGAAGGCACGCUGACACGUAGGUGAAGUGAUUUACUCAUGGAGCUGAAGUCAGUCGAAGAUACCAGCUGGCUGCAACUGUUUAUUAAAAACACAGCACUGUGCAAACACGAAAGUGGACGUAUACGGUGUGACGCCUGCCCGGUGCCGGAAGGUUAAUUGAUGGGGUCAGCGCAAGCGAAGCUCCUGAUCGAAGCCCCGGUAAACGGCGGCCGUAACUAUAACGGUCCUAAGGUAGCGAAAUUCCUUGUCGGGUAAGUUCCGACCUGCACGAAUGGCGUAAUGAUGGCCAGGCUGUCUCCACCCGAGACUCAGUGAAAUUGAACUCGCUGUGAAGAUGCAGUGUACCCGCGGCAAGACGGAAAGACCCCGUGAACCUUUACUAUAGCUUGACACUGAACAUUGAGCCUUGAUGUGUAGGAUAGGUGGGAGGCUUUGAAGUGUGGACGCCAGUCUGCAUGGAGCCGACCUUGAAAUACCACCCUUUAAUGUUUGAUGUUCUAACGUGGACCCGUAAUCCGGGUUGCGGACAGUGUCUGGUGGGUAGUUUGACUGGGGCGGUCUCCUCCUAAAGAGUAACGGAGGAGCACGAAGGUUGGCUAAUCCUGGUCGGACAUCAGGAGGUUAGUGCAAUGGCAUAAGCCAGCUUGACUGCGAGCGUGACGGCGCGAGCAGGUGCGAAAGCAGGUCAUAGUGAUCCGGUGGUUCUGAAUGGAAGGGCCAUCGCUCAACGGAUAAAAGGUACUCCGGGGAUAACAGGCUGAUACCGCCCAAGAGUUCAUAUCGACGGCGGUGUUUGGCACCUCGAUGUCGGCUCAUCACAUCCUGGGGCUGAAGUAGGUCCCAAGGGUAUGGCUGUUCGCCAUUUAAAGUGGUACGCGAGCUGGGUUUAGAACGUCGUGAGACAGUUCGGUCCCUAUCUGCCGUGGGCGCUGGAGAACUGAGGGGGGCUGCUCCUAGUACGAGAGGACCGGAGUGGACGCAUCACUGGUGUUCGGGUUGUCAUGCCAAUGGCACUGCCCGGUAGCUAAAUGCGGAAGAGAUAAGUGCUGAAAGCAUCUAAGCACGAAACUUGCCCCGAGAUGAGUUCUCCCUGAGACUUAGAGUCUCCUGAAGGAACGUUGAAGACGACGACGUUGAUAGGCCGGGUGUGUAAGCGCAGCGAUGCGUUGAGCUAACC